Molecule: ribosomal RNA, 226 nt
Filed under: uncultured bacterium
Lineage: Bacteria
Description: partial 16S ribosomal RNA
Rfam family: Bacterial small subunit ribosomal RNA
Source: RNAcentral
UGAGCAAUCUGCCCUUCUCUUUGGAAUAAGCGUUGGAAACGACGUCUAAUGCCGAAUACGACCUCCUUUCGCAUGAUCGGAGGUGGAAAGCUCCGGCGGAGAAGGAUGAGCUCGCGGCCUAUCAGCUAGUUGGUGUGGGUAAUGGCCCACCAAGGCGACGACGGGUAGCCGGCCUGAGAGGGUGACCGGCCACACUGGGACUGAGAUACGGCCCAGACCCUACGGA